Molecule: ribosomal RNA, 669 nt
Filed under: uncultured cyanobacterium
Lineage: Bacteria; Bacillati; Cyanobacteriota
Description: bacterial SSU rRNA
Rfam family: Bacterial small subunit ribosomal RNA
Source: RNAcentral
GUGGCGCACGGGUGCGUAACGCGUGGGAAUCUGCCCUUGGGUGCGGAAUAACUUCCCGAAAGGGAUGCUAAUACCGCAUAAUGUCGCAAGACCAAAGAUUUAUCGCCCAAGGAUGAGCCCGCGUAGGAUUAGCUAGUUGGUGGGGUAAAAGCCUACCAAGGCGACGAUCCUUAGCUGGUCUGAGAGGAUGAGCAGCCACACUGGGACUGAGACACGGCCCAGACUCCUACGGGAGGCAGCAGUGGGGAAUUUUCCGCAAUGGGCGAAAGCCUGACGGAGCAAUACCGCGUGAGGGAAGAAGGCUCUUGGGUUGUAAACCUCAAAACUUAGGGAAGAAAAAAAUGACGGUACCUAAUGUAAGCAUCGGCUAACUCCGUGCCAGCAGCCGCGGUAAUACGGAGGAUGCAAGCGUUAUCCGGAAUCAUUGGGCGUAAAGAGUCCGUAGGUGGCACUUCAAGUCUGCUUUCAAAGACCGAAGCUCAACUUCGGAAAGGAAGUGGAAACUGAAGAGCUAGAGUAUAGUAGGGGUAGAGAGAAUUCCUAGUGUAGCGGUGAAAUGCGUAGAGAUUAGGAAGAACACCAGUGGCGAAGGCGCUCUACUGGGCAUAUACUGACACUGAGGGACGAAAGCUAGGGGAGCGAAAGGGAUUAGAUACCCCUGUAGUCCUA